RNAcentral lists this ribosomal RNA (402 nucleotides) under Brucella melitensis. RNAcentral's name for it is "partial 16S ribosomal RNA". It matches the Rfam family "Bacterial small subunit ribosomal RNA", at positions 355 to 774 of the family's 1533-position model. RNAcentral also lists the same sequence under 4 other names. Lineage: Bacteria; Pseudomonadati; Pseudomonadota; Alphaproteobacteria; Hyphomicrobiales; Brucellaceae. The record is from RNAcentral.
UGGGGAAUAUUGGACAAUGGGCGCAAGCCUGAUCCAGCCAUGCCGCGUGAGUGAUGAAGGCCUUAGGGUUGUAAAGCUCUUUUGUCCGGGAAGAUAAUGACUGUACCGGAAGAAUAAGCCCCGGCUAACUUCGUGCCAGCAGCCGCGGUAAUACGAAGGGGGCUAGCGUUGCUCGGAAUCACUGGGCGUAAAGGGCGCGUAGGCGGACUCUUAAGUCGGGGGUGAAAGCCCAGGGCUCAACCCUGGAAUUGCCUUCGAUACUGAGAGUCUUGAGUUCGGAAGAGGUUGGUGGAACUGCGAGUGUAGAGGUGAAAUUCGUAGAUAUUCGCAAGAACACCAGUGGCGAAGGCGGCCAACUGGUCCGAUACUGACGCUGAGGCGCGAAAGCGUGGGGAGCAAACA